This 87-nucleotide small RNA is filed under the name Sinorhizobium meliloti 2011. RNAcentral describes it as "putative ncRNA". Lineage: Bacteria; Pseudomonadati; Pseudomonadota; Alphaproteobacteria; Hyphomicrobiales; Rhizobiaceae. The record is from RNAcentral.
GCCAACUGCGGAUUGACAGGAUUGUUCCCUGGCAACCCGCCUGUGCAGAGCUAGAGCGUUUCAGUUUUCACUGAAACGCUCUAGGAC